Quercus lobata is the source of this 936-nucleotide long non-coding RNA. RefSeq lists it as uncharacterized. The record is from RefSeq and is a predicted model, not a curated record. The transcript is spliced from 5 exons. NCBI's taxonomy places the organism in Eukaryota, Viridiplantae, Streptophyta, Magnoliopsida, Fagales, Fagaceae.
CCCUAAAUUCACAAAAACUCUUAACUCAUUCUCAACCUAGCUCUCAAUCCCUAAUCUCGCUGCUGUGCUUUAUGCCACGCAACUUGACGCCUCCAUGCUCUGACCCAUUUCCCUUUCCAUUCCCUCUCCCAUCCAACACACUCCCCACUUCGAAAUCGCCUUCUCCCCUCCUUCCCUCACUUCCACCCUCUUUGAUUUCCUUUCCACCCAAAUCUCCAAAUCCCCUUCCUCCCAUCCAAAUUUGGGUGACAUUCCAUACAUCAAAUGCCAGGUUUGUGAAAAGCUCGCAGCACAGUUGUACCACCAGGUUCAGAAGAAGCAAGCUAAGAUUGAUCCCAAGAAGGUUAUUUGAGAAUUUGUGACCAGUUGUUCUCAAGCUCCCUUACUUGUGUUCAAACACUUACUGCGAACCUUUACUAUUCGUAAGGUUGAGUGGUCUGUGGCUGUUGCAUCACUGCCAUCUUCCAUCACCACCAACAAGAUGGGCGACAUCAAGUCAGUAGCCGUGAAAUCCUACAAAAAGGAAUAAGUAGACUUGGAGUACACCGAUGUGAUGUAUGCCAAGGAGCCUCUGACAAGCUAGUUAGUAGUUGCUGGGAUUGGGCAUUAAUGGGUUGAUGAUGUCACUAUGGAUAUGUCAACUGCCUAAGCUAUUACUAGAGGUGUUGCAACUCCUGCUGGAGGUGUUGCAGCUUUUGUUGAAGUUAAGGCAACUGCUGCUGGAGUUAAGACAGCUUCUGCUAGAGCUGUUACUAAUACUUUUUGACUAAGUUUUUUCUUUUGAAAAAUUAUAUGUUUAGUCUACGGUUUUAUUACAUUAUAAUUUUGGUAAGUAAUAAAUUCGUUGGUUGAUGUUUGAUGAAGGUUUAGAGAUGUAACUAUGGUCUCUUUGUAUUAUGACCAAAGUUUGGAGAGUAAGGAGAGCAUUUAAUGUUG